GGAAUAUUGCACAAUGGAGGAAACUCUGAUGCAGCAACGCCGCGUGGAGGAUGACGCAUUUCGGUGUGUAAACUCCUUUUAUAUAGGAAGAUAAUGACGGUACUAUAUGAAUAAGCACCGGCUAACUCCGUGCCAGCAGCCGCGGUAAUACGGAGGGUGCAAGCGUUACUCGGAAUCACUGGGCGUAAAGCGCAUGCAGGCGGUUUAUUAAGUUGGAAGUGAAAUCCUAUGGCUCAACCAUAGAACUGCUUCCAAAACUGAUAAACUAGAGUCUGGGAGGGGAAGAUGGAAUUAGUAGUGUAGGGGUAAAAUCCGUAGAGAUUACUAGGAAUACCAAAAGCGAAGGCGAUCUUCUGGAACAGUACUGACGCUGAGAUGCGAAAGCGUGGGGAGCAAACAGGAUUAGAUACCCUGGUAGUCCACGCAGUAAACGAUGAAUGUUAGUCGUUGGGACUCUAGUAGUUUCAGUGAUGCAGUUAACACAUUAAACAUUCCGCCUGGGGAGUACGGUCGCAAGAUUAAAACUCAAAGGAAUAGACGGGGACCCGCACAAGUGGUGGAGCAUGUGGUUUAAUUCGAAGAUACGCGAAGAACCUUACCUAGCCUUGACAUACUACAGAAUUUGACAGAGAUGUUGAAGUGCCUUCGGGAGCUGUAAUACAGGUGCUGCACGGCUGUCGUCAGCUCGUGUCGUGAGAUGUUGGGUUAAGUCCCGCAACGAGCGCAACCCUCGUCCUUAGUUACUAACGGUUCGGCCGAGGACUCUAAGGAGACUGCCUUCGUAAGGAGGAGGAAGGUGAGGACGACGUCAAGUCAUCAUGGCCCUUACGGCUAGGGCAACACACGUGCUACAAUGGUUAGGACAAUGAGAAGCGAUACCGUGAGGUGGAGCAAAUCUAUAAACCUAAUCUCAGUUCGGAUAGCAGUCUGCAACUCGACUGCUUGAAGCUGGAAUCACUAGUAAUCGUAAAUCAGCUAUGUUACGGUGAAUACGU
Molecule: ribosomal RNA, 995 nt
Filed under: uncultured bacterium
Lineage: Bacteria
Description: bacterial SSU rRNA
Rfam family: Bacterial small subunit ribosomal RNA
Source: RNAcentral